This 297-nucleotide long non-coding RNA is filed under the name Hordeum vulgare. Its description in RNAcentral is "long non-coding RNA (HVUL_LNC005309)". The record is from RNAcentral. Lineage: Eukaryota; Viridiplantae; Streptophyta; Magnoliopsida; Poales; Poaceae.
ACAUCCGACGAAGAAGCCACCGGCUGGUGCGACGAGUGGAGCAGAUCCACAGUCCAGAGAAGGUUGACCAGCACGGCGGAAAGAGGAGGUCGAGUGGAGCAGAUCCAUAGUCGAGAGAAGGUUGGCCAGCACGGCGGACAAUGGAGUUCGUCUGAGCUCAAUAAUGCUAGGUGGAAGAUGCAGAUUUCCAAAUCAGAUGACCUCAUGCGGACAACGACGGAAUGAAUUAGCUCGGAUUCAUUUCGAUUCGCAACUAGGCCGGGUUGAGAACGGCACCUGACCACCACCAUGACCACC